RNAcentral lists this ribosomal RNA (707 nucleotides) under uncultured bacterium. RNAcentral's name for it is "partial 16S ribosomal RNA". The record is from RNAcentral.
GCGUCAAUUGUGUAAUUCGUAAGGCGGACCCCUCAUGCCAGCGUUCUAAUUUUGAGUUUCCUUAACUGCCCCCGGGCGUGUUCGCCACCUCGUACACCAAAUUAAGCUUCGUUGCGCGUCUUGGAAUGGAUGCGAACUGUACCUACCCUUAUCUUCGUCUCUGCGUAGAUCUGCCAAGCCGGCGGGUAGUGUGUCCACGACGUACCGACAGCAGUCGAGCACAGCACUCUACAACCCAAUUCAGGGCGUUGCUCGCGUUGGGAACAGUAAUCAACGAUGCUUUCCCGUGAGAUUACUCUGACGGCCACUGUUUGGCCUCCUUCCACCCCUACUGCAGUCCAGGAGUACCGGGAAUACCCAUCCCGAUGUGUGCAGUAUGUUACCGGCCAUGUCUCCCGACGGUUGGGCGCUCCCCCUCGGUUAGGGUCUUUUGGCCAGCAUCAGGCCUAGCGUCAGACGUUGAGCUGACGCACUUCAGCCUUAGCGAUCAUUAGCGCCUAGUCGAACGGCGCCACUUAUGCAAGGGCCCAGAACAUGUGUGGCGGGCAGUGUGGUACCCUCGCCCAAGACGGUCUUCAUCAAUCGGAUUGGCGUUCCUCCCGCUAAUGGUGCCGUCCCAAGCACUGACCCCACUUCAGCAUUGUUCCAUCGGCAUUUCCCGCUUAAGACGUCUAUAGGUAGUGUGACCGCCGGCGAGCUCGUACGUA